CUGUAGCUCAGUGGUUAAGCACCUGUUUUGCAUGCAGAAGGUUCCAAGUUCUAAUCCUGGCAUCUCUAGG
Molecule: non-coding RNA, 70 nt
Organism: Podarcis lilfordi (Lilford's wall lizard)
Lineage: Eukaryota; Metazoa; Chordata; Lepidosauria; Squamata; Lacertidae
Source: the annotation of a GenBank genome assembly